Molecule: RNA transcript, 1599 nt
Organism: Phyllopteryx taeniolatus (common seadragon)
Lineage: Eukaryota; Metazoa; Chordata; Actinopteri; Syngnathiformes; Syngnathidae
Gene name: retinol dehydrogenase 14-like
Exons: 2
Source: RefSeq, a predicted model, not a curated record
GCAGAGACGUCAACAGUGCGGAAGAGGCAGCACGGGAGAUUCGACAAGAGACGGAUGCAGACAGCAAACUGUUAGUUGUCAAAGAACUGGAUCUCGCCUCAAUUACAUCUAUACGCACUUUCUGCCAGGGCAUAAUGAAGCCUUGACACACAUGCGCAGUAGUUGUUAUCCGAUGACGUACCUGGACGAACCACCGUCCACCACCAGCUGGCGUUAAAGAAAAUGACUGUUCAUUCACACGGAAGAAAUGACGGGAGACACAGGCCAAGCAUCAACGGAUGACAUCUUUGACAAGAAAUGCCCGAAACUUUGGCAGUGUGGCUGUUAUUGGAAACAGUGGCAUCUGCGAGCACACGCUCAGUGCAAGACUUUACAAUCCCAGACCUGUGCGAGGGCAAACCUCACGAAAACAACAAACUGUAUCGCAAAAUACAUUUACCAGUAAGCACGGUUGAAAACAAGAGAUUAAAGGGGACACUUAACUUAAAGGGGACAUAUUUUCCAAACAAACUUUUUCUAGUUGGGAUGUAAUAUUGUCUCUAUGGUGCCUCAGUAAACGUGAAAUAUUAAUUGAAAUCAUCCACACAUUCCUGAGUUCCAGGCGUUUUUCUGCAGAGAAGCCUGAAAUCAGGUCAUUCGAAUUUCUCAAGGUUAUCAACGUCACUAGCGAAGCUCUCCGCCUACCUCUCUGCUCCUGAGCCAGUGCUGUCAACAUAACAAACACGUGUUCUCUCACAAGUGGGUCUUCCACACGGAGGCAACCAAUCAGAAGGAAGGGGGCGAUCUUAGCCAAAUGUGGACAAAGCGGAUACAAAACUGGGUCAAACAGAUGUAGCUUUCAGAGGGGCCUUUUCUGUACAUGUAUGACAAAACCAAGUUUGUUUUUUUUAAAUGAAAUUGACACUUUUAUACAAGUCCAUGUUAGAGAGAAACUCUAUGGAGGUCUAAAUAGUCAUAAUACGGGACCUUUGAAGUAAUGGACCCUCAUUACCAAUUCCCUGGACGUAAAUUAGAAUUGUAAAACUUGAAAGCUUUUGCAUGGUCAAAUUAUACAUGUUUAUAAGGUGAUACGUUUCAUUUGUCUGACACAGUUGUGUAAUGUUCCAUGUCAUGUUCAACUUUUGACCUGAAAAAUUUUAGGUUUAAGAGUAACAGGGAAUAUUUAAGAUUUGAAAUAAAAAAAAUACACUUGUUUUUUAUGGUAAUAUUGAUAUCGACAGAUUUUUAAAAAUGAUUUUUUUUCCCCCCAUAUUGCCCAGCCGUGAAAUAAAUCGUAACGUCCUAAUUUUUUAACCGACUUUAAUGAGGGUGACCUUUUUUCUCCAUAAAAAAAUUGCUAUUCAUACAGAACAGUUUAAAAAAAAUUAGCCCAAAAAAAUCUGGACUAUGAAAGGUUAUUCCCAGUUCACUUGUUGUGAUUGCGACUGCAAGAUGGCGCCUACCAGUGUGGUCGCCUCGGUAACGCGCUCUCUAGUAUUGUCUUUGUUUUUGUGUUUUUCGUCCGUCUUUGGAGACCUUACACGACUCACUUACACAAGGGGAGACCUGCUAACCAUCAAGGAGUCUACUCCAGAUUUUCUGUCACCAACUUUCGAAUAU